UUGAAUAGUAUAUUCCAACAG
RNAcentral lists this non-coding RNA (21 nucleotides) under Drosophila melanogaster (fruit fly). Lineage: Eukaryota; Metazoa; Arthropoda; Insecta; Diptera; Drosophilidae. The record is from RNAcentral.